UCAAUAAGCGGAGGAAAAGAAACUAACAAGGAUUCCCUUAGUAACGGCGAGUGAAGCGGGAAGAGCUCAAAUUUGUAAUCUGGCGGCUUCCGGUCGUCCGAGUUGUAUUCUGGAGAAGCGUUUUCCGUGCCGGACCGUGUACAAGUCCCUUGGAACAGGGCGUCGUAGAGGGUGAGAAUCCCGUCUCUGACACGGACUGCCGGUGCUCUGUGAUGCGCUCUCGAAGAGUCGAGUUGUUUGGGAAUGCAGCUCAAAAUGGGUGGUAAAUUCCAUCUAAAGCUAAAUAUGGGCGAAAGACCGAUAGCGAACAAGUACCGUGAGGGAAAGAUGAAAAGCACUUUGGAAAGAGAGUUAAACAGUACGUGAAAUUGUUGAAAGGGAAACGCUUGAAGUCAGUCGCGUCUUCCGAGACUCAACCGGGUUCUCGCUCGGUGCACUUCUCGGUGUGACGGGCCAGCAUCRAUUUCGACCGUCGGAGAAAGGCUGGGGAAAGUGGCACGUUGGGGUGUGUAUAGCCCCCUGUUGUAU
RNAcentral lists this ribosomal RNA (528 nucleotides) under Hysterangium rupticutis. Its description in RNAcentral is "eukaryotic LSU rRNA". It matches the Rfam family "Eukaryotic large subunit ribosomal RNA", at positions 43 to 570 of the family's 3401-position model. Lineage: Eukaryota; Fungi; Basidiomycota; Agaricomycetes; Hysterangiales; Hysterangiaceae. The record is from RNAcentral.